This is a long non-coding RNA of Erinaceus europaeus (western European hedgehog), 469 nucleotides long. RefSeq lists it as uncharacterized. The transcript is spliced from 2 exons. The record is from RefSeq and is a predicted model, not a curated record. Lineage: Eukaryota; Metazoa; Chordata; Mammalia; Eulipotyphla; Erinaceidae.
CUUUCUAUAAAUCCUUGCUAAUAAUUGAUUUUGUCCCAUACUACCAAUUGAUGCCUUCAUUUGACAGUUAAUUGAGUCCCCUAAGAAAUACCAAGAGCCAACGCACAGCUGUGGAGAGGCUGAGGUGGGCAAGAGAAAAUCUUUGCCCUCCUUCCUGCUGCCCAGCAGGAAGGAGUAUGAAGCAGAGGAACUCACACUGAGAAUUACUGGGAGAUAAGUUUCUAAACCAUAAGAGGAUAGCAUGUGUAGCUUGCAUGUAUGUCUGGAGAAGAAUUACUACACAUACAUGGUGGCAAGAUGAAAACAGACACUGGAAACAAGCAGCCUUGCUCUGGAAGUCAUAAACUCUGCAGUGAGCUGUAAAUGAGGGAGGAGAACGAUUUAUCUGGCAAACAGGAUUUCCAUUAUCACCCACUUUUCAAAAGUUUGCAUUCUACCAAAUAGAAUGAAUGCUUUUACAAUAAGCCUA